Molecule: ribosomal RNA, 468 nt
Filed under: uncultured bacterium
Lineage: Bacteria
Description: partial 16S ribosomal RNA
Rfam family: Bacterial small subunit ribosomal RNA
Source: RNAcentral
GACGAACGCUGGCGGCGUGCUUAACACAUGCAAGUCGAACGGAAAGGCCCUGCUUUUGUGGGGUGCUCGAGUGGCGAACGGGUGAGUAACACGUGAGUAACCUGCCCUUGACUUUGGGAUAACUUCAGGAAACUGGGGCUAAUACCGGCUAGGAGCUCCUGCUGCAUGGUGGGGGUUGGAAAGUUUCGGCGGUUGGGGAUGGACUCGCGGCUUAUCAGCUUGUUGGUGGGGUAGUGGCUUACCAAGGCUUUGACGGGUAGCCGGCCUGAGAGGGUGACCGGCCACAUGGGGACUGAGAUACGGCCCAGACUCCUACGGGAGGCAGCAGUGGGGAAUAUUGCACAAUGGGCGGAAGCCUGAUGCAGCAACGCCGCGUGCGGGAUGACGGCCUUCGGGUUGGAAACCGCUUUCGCCUGUGACGAAGCGUGAGUGACGGUAAUGGGUAAAGAAGCACCGGCUAACUACGUG